UACGUAGGGGGCUAGCGUUGUCCGGAUUUAUUGGGCGUAAAGAGCGUGUAGGCGGCUUGGCAAGUCUGCUGUGAAAACUCGAGGCUCAACCUCGAGCUGUCGGUGGAAACUGCUUGGCUAGAGUCCGGAAGAGGAGAGUGGAAUUCCUGGUGUAGCGGUGAAAUGCGCAGAUAUCAGGAAGAACACCUAUGGCGAAGGCAGCUCUCUGGGACGGUACUGACGCUGAGACGCGAAAGCGUGGGGAGCGAACAGG
Molecule: ribosomal RNA, 253 nt
Filed under: uncultured bacterium
Lineage: Bacteria
Description: partial 16S ribosomal RNA
Rfam family: Bacterial small subunit ribosomal RNA
Source: RNAcentral